RNA transcript from Cercocebus atys (sooty mangabey), 1859 nucleotides. It is a transcript of the gene named beta-glucuronidase-like, with no coding region annotated. The transcript is spliced from 7 exons. The record is from RefSeq and is a predicted model, not a curated record. Lineage: Eukaryota; Metazoa; Chordata; Mammalia; Primates; Cercopithecidae.
UCAGGUGAUCCGACCACCUCAGCCCUCCCAAAGUGCUGGGAUUACAGGCCUGACCCACUGCACCUGGCCUCUCUCCCUGUAUCUUCAAAGCCAAGAAGGAACUUCUGUCCCCUUGGUUAGGGUCAGGGUCCCAGAGAUCCAGGGUCAAGGCUACAGCCGCCUCCCAAGGACGUGCAUCCCUGCAAGAGGCUGCAUCCAGCAGUCAUGGAAGAGGCUCCGCUGGGGCCUGCUCCAAUUCCUGCUGGGGAAAGCAAGUGGAGGUGCCCCUUGAAGAAACAGUAAGGCCACCAAUCUCGGGGGUUCUGUCCUGACCUGCGGCCCUGGAUCAUCCAGCCUCUGCUGGGAUGGCAGCAGACGACGCCCUUCUUGGCUGGAGCUGAGGGUGGGGGUCCCGCUUCCCCAAAGGCCUAGCCCUGGAUUCCAGCCACAGGUUCUACUGAGCAGCGCCUGGCGCUGCCCCGCCCCUCCAGGCCUGGCACUCGCCCUCAACAAACAUGGCGCCUAUGGCCUCACGCGCGCCAUGCCGCACGCGCCUCAGGCGACAAGCUCGCAGGGCUUCCCCUGCGCCGCUCUCAUCCCCUCAGACUGGCUGACAAGAGGAGGAGCGGGAAAUAUGACCUGGCUGGUGGCGGUGUCCUGGGCGGCUCUCCGGCGGCUGUUGUGUGGCUGCCCGCAGGCGCUGCUGGGCGGGAUGCUGUACACCCGGCAGAGCGCAUCGCGGGAGCGCAAGGAGCUGGACGGCCUCUGAAGCUUCCUAGCCGACUUCUCCAACAACCGACUCCCGGGCUUCUAGGAGAGGCGCCUGGAAGCCCGGCGUUGGGAAUGGCCUAAGCCCCGGCGCCCUGCGGCCUCCUUCACCUGAAUGCCCGGAAGCUGGGGGCCCGGAGGAGGUUAAAGUUGGGCCCCACCUUGGACAUACCAGUUUCCAUUUUCAAUGACAUCAGCCAGGACUGGCGGCUGCAGCAUUUUGUCGGCUGGAUGUGGUAUGAACGGGAGGUGACCCUGCUGAAGCGAUGGAUCCAGGACCUGCACAUAAGAGUGGUGCUGAGGAUUGGCAGUGCCCACUUCUAUGCCAUUGUGGUCAGUGUGGCGAGGAGCAGGCAGGGCAGUGGGUGAUUGGCUAGAGCAUGAAAGGGGCUACCUCCCCUUCGAGGCUGACAGCAGCAGUCUAUUCCAGGUGGGGCCCCUGCCCUCCCCCCUCUGCGUCAUCAACUGUCACCAUCAACAACACGCUCGCCCCCCACCCUGCCACCAGGGACCAUCCGUACAUGACCGACAACUCCAAGUAUCCCAAGGGUUACUUUGUCCAGAACACAGACUUUGACUUCUUCAACUAUGCGGGACUACAGCGGUCUGUGCUUCUGUACACGACACCAACUACCUACAUCGAUGACAUCACCAUCACCACUGGUGUGGAGUGAGACAGAGGCUGAUCCCAAACUCCUGACAUCAAGUGGUUCGCCAGCCGUUGCCUCCCAAAAUGUUGGGAUUACAGACGUGAGCCACCGCGCCUGGCCUUUUGAGAAAUCUGUUGACUGUUUAUCCGUGUUGCCACAAAAGACAUUAUGUCAUCAAUCUUUGUUGUUGGGGCGUAUUUCGUUGUGUCCAUAUACUGAAGUUCCUUCAUCCCUUCAUCAGUUGCAGGACAGGUUUCUCCAAGUGGUUGCAGAUGACAUGAUUUCCUGAAGUAUUAGAGCUGAUGUGUGUUUCAUUGUGUAUAUAUACUGUGGUUCCUUUAUCCCUUCAUGUGUGGAUAGACAGGUAGGUUGAUUCCACAUCUCGGCUAUUGUGACUAGUGCUUCAGGACACAUGAAAAGGCAGAUAACACAGGGUUUUCGUUUUCUCUAAACAUGUACCCA